UGCCCAGCAACUCCUAUCCCUACCUCCUCGCGGUACUGGCCGGGGUACGAGUAACCUUAGGGAAGAUUGGGUAACCAACCCCCGGUGGGAACUUUGGUCGUAUGCUGACAGGGAAGG
Molecule: ribozyme, 117 nt
Filed under: Aedes aegypti (yellow fever mosquito)
Lineage: Eukaryota; Metazoa; Arthropoda; Insecta; Diptera; Culicidae
Description: drz-agam-1 ribozyme
Rfam family: drz-agam-1 ribozyme
Source: Rfam by way of RNAcentral